This 676-nucleotide ribosomal RNA is filed under the name uncultured bacterium. RNAcentral's name for it is "bacterial SSU rRNA". It matches the Rfam family "Bacterial small subunit ribosomal RNA", at positions 8 to 681 of the family's 1533-position model. The record is from RNAcentral.
AGACUUUGAUUAUGGCUCAGGACGAACGCUGGCGGCGUGCCUAACACAUGCAAGUCGAGCGAAGUAUAUCUAAGUGAAGUUUUCGGACAGAACGAAGAUAUAUCUUAGCGGCGGACGGGUGAGUAACGCGUGAGCAACCUGCCUUUCACAAAGGGAUAGCCUCGGGAAACUGGGAUUAAUACCAUAUAAAACUUGCCUUUCGCAUGAAAGGAAAGUCAAAGCGAUAAGCGGUGAAAGAUGGGCUCGCGUCCUAUUAGCUAGUUGGUGAGGUAACGGCUCACCAAGGCGACGAUAGGUAGCCGGCCUGAGAGGGUGAACGGCCACACUGGAACUGAGACACGGUCCAGACUCCUACGGGAGGCAGCAGUGGGGGAUAUUGCACAAUGGAGGAAACUCUGAUGCAGCGACGCCGCGUGAGUGAAGAAGGCCUUCGGGUCGUAAAGCUCUGUCCUAGGGGAAGAUAAUGACGGUACCCUAGGAGGAAGCCCCGGCUAACUACGUGCCAGCAGCCGCGGUAAUACGUAGGGGGCGAGCGUUGUCCGGAAUUACUGGGCGUAAAGAGUUCGUAGGCGGUCUGAUAAGUCAGAUGUGAAAGGCGUAGGCUUCAACCUAUGUAAGCAUAUGAAACUGUCAGACUUGAGGUAAGGAGAGGAAAGUGGAAUUCCUAUUGUAGCGG